GAUGAACGCUGGCGGCGCGCCUAACACAUGCAAGUCGAACGUGAAGCACACCUUCGGGUGUGUGGAAAGUGGCGAACGGCUGAGUAACACGUGGGCAACCUGCCCCUCACAUCGGGACAGCCUCGGGAAACCGGGAUUAAUACCGAAUACUCCGAUCACACCACAUGGUGAGUUCGGGAAAGCUCCGGCGGUGAGGGAUGGGCCCGCGGCCUGUUAGCUUGUUGGUGGGGUAACGGCCUACCAAGGCGAUGAUGGGUAGCUGGGUUGAGAGACCGACCAGCCAGAUUGGGACUGAGACACGGCCCAGACUCC
Molecule: ribosomal RNA, 312 nt
Filed under: uncultured Atopobium sp.
Lineage: Bacteria; Bacillati; Actinomycetota; Coriobacteriia; Coriobacteriales; Atopobiaceae
Description: bacterial SSU rRNA
Rfam family: Bacterial small subunit ribosomal RNA
Source: RNAcentral